GCCCGGAUGGUGAAAUUGGUAGACACAGGAGACUUAAAAUCUCCCGCCUAUUGCUGGCGUGCCGGUUCGAUUCCGGCUCCGGGCACCA
This 88-nucleotide transfer RNA is filed under the name Sediminihaliea albiluteola. RNAcentral describes it as "Parahaliea sp. F7430 tRNA-Leu". It matches the Rfam family "tRNA". From Rfam's summary of the family: Transfer RNA (tRNA) molecules are approximately 80 nucleotides in length. Their secondary structure includes four short double-helical elements and three loops (D, anti-codon, and T loops). Further hydrogen bonds mediate the characteristic L-shaped molecular structure. tRNAs have two regions of fundamental functional importance: the anti-codon, which is responsible for specific mRNA codon recognition, and the 3' end, to which the tRNAs corresponding amino acid is attached (by aminoacyl-tRNA synthetases). tRNAs cope with the degeneracy of the genetic code in two manners: having more than one tRNA (with a specific anti-codon) for a particular amino acid; and 'wobble' base-pairing, i.e. permitting non-standard base-pairing at the 3rd anti-codon position. Lineage: Bacteria; Pseudomonadati; Pseudomonadota; Gammaproteobacteria; Cellvibrionales; Halieaceae. The record is from RNAcentral. RNAcentral also lists the same sequence under 1 other name.